RNAcentral lists this long non-coding RNA (418 nucleotides) under Musa acuminata (dwarf banana). RNAcentral's name for it is "long non-coding RNA (MACU_LNC009151)". The record is from RNAcentral. Lineage: Eukaryota; Viridiplantae; Streptophyta; Magnoliopsida; Zingiberales; Musaceae.
UGGGCUGGCCGGAAGCAGGGGUCCGGCAAGGGAAGCAGGGGUGGCUGCGGCUUCAUCUUCUUCUUCUUCUUCUUCUUCUUCUUCUUCUUCUUCUUCUUUUCCUAAAGAUGAAGAUAACUGCAGCAAGGGGGUAGUGGCGGUGGUGGCGACUACUAGCUGGGUAGUAGCGAUGGUGGUGGAGAAGGGGCAGAUGGUCGCUGACCAAGACGCAGAGGUUCCUUCUCGGUUGAGAAAAAUCGACAUUCGUAGCUACCGGCUUCACCCUUCCUCACACAAUUUUUUUUUUUUUUGCUACGGCAAGACUACAGCGAGAAUGCCAAGGAUCACCGCUUUGAUACCAAAUGGUAAGACCCUAAAGUCUUAUCGUCGCUCUGAUACUAAAUGGUAAGACCCUAAGGUCUUAUCGUAAAAGAAAUCG